AUGGCUCAGGAUGAACGCUAGCGGCAGGCUUAACACAUGCAAGUCGAGGGGCAGCGGGGAGGAAGCUUGCUUUCUCCGCCGGCGACCGGCGCACGGGUGAGUAACACGUAUGCAACCUGCCCCUGUCAGGGGGACAACCCGCCGAAAGGCGGGCUAAACCCGCGUACAUGCCACCGGGGCAUCCCGGAGGCAGGAAAGGCUUCGGCCGGACAGGGAUGGGCAUGCGGCGCAUUAGGCAGUAGGCGGGGUAACGGCCCACCUAACCGACGAUGCGUAGGGGUUCUGAGAGGAAGGUCCCCCACACUGGUACUGAGACACGGACCAGACUCCUACGGGAGGCAGCAGUGAGGAAUAUUGGUCAAUGGUCGGGAGACUGAACCAGCCAAGCCGCGUGAGGGAUGAAGGUACAGAGUAUCGUAAACCUCUUUUGUCAGGGAACAAAGGCGGGGACGUGUCCCCGGAUGAGUGUACCUGAAGAAAAAGCAUCGGCUAACUCCGUGCCAGCAGCCGCGGUAAUACGGAGGAUGCGAGCGUUAUCCGGAUUUAUUGGGUUUAAAGGGUGCGCAGGCGGUCUGUUAAGUCAGCGGUCAAAGCCCGGGGCUCAACCCCGGCCCGCCGUUGAAACUGGCAGUCUCGAGUUGGAGAGAAGUAUGCGGAAUGCGCGGUGUAGCGGUGAAAUGCAUAGAUAUCGCGCAGAACUCCGAUUGCGAAGGCAGCAUGCCGGCUCCACACUGACGCUGAGGCACGAAAGCGUGGGUAUCGAACAGGAUUAGAUACCCUGGUAGUCCACGCAGUAAACGAUGAAUGCUGGCUGUCCGGGGGGGAUUGACCCCUGGGUGGCGAAGCGAAAGCGAUAAGCAUUCCACCUGGGGAGUACGCCGGCAACGGUGAAACUCAAAGGAAUUGACGGGGGCCCGCACAAGCGGAGGAACAUGUGGUUUAAUUCGAUGAUACGCGAGGAACCUUACCCGGGCUCAAACGGGGAGUGACUCAGGCAGAGACGCCUGUUUCCCACGGGACACUCCCCGAGGUGCUGCAUGGUUGUCGUCAGCUCGUGCCGUGAGGUGUCGGCUUAAGUGCCAUAACGAGCGCAACCCCCGCGUGCAGUUGCUAACAGAUAACGCUGAGGACUCUGCACGGACUGCCGGCGCAAGCCGCGAGGAAGGCGGGGAUGACGUCAAAUCAGCACGGCCCUUACGUCCGGGGCGACACACGUGUUACAAUGGGUGGUACAGCGGGAAGCCAGGCGGCGACGCCGAGCGGAACCCGAAAUCCACUCUCAGUUCGGAUCGGAGUCUGCAACCCGACUCCGUGAAGCUGGAUUCGCUAGUAAUCGCGCAUCAGCCAUGGCGCGGUGAAUACGUUCCCGGGCCUUGUACACACCGCCCGUCAAGCCAUGGGAGCCGAGGGCGCUUGAAGUGCGUCGCCGCGAGGCGCGCCCUAGAGCGAAAUCGGUGACUGGGGCUAAGUCGUAACAAGGUAACCGU
This 1487-nucleotide ribosomal RNA is filed under the name uncultured bacterium. RNAcentral's name for it is "partial 16S ribosomal RNA". It matches the Rfam family "Bacterial small subunit ribosomal RNA". The record is from RNAcentral.